UUUUCGCUCACGCGUUGGCUCCAUUUUGGAUUGAGACGGCGAAACGUUGACCUACCGACAGAGAGAAAAGAAAACUAAAACGGAAGAAAAUUACAUUUAUCGAGUAUGUCUCGAUACAGGGACAAUAACUUGGAAGGAAAAAUUUAUGUUGGGGACUUGAGUCGUGAUGCUUGUGAGAAGGACUUGGAGAGAGCAUUUGAAUAUUAUGGCAGACUGAGAAAUGUUUGGGUUGCACGCAAUCCAGCAGGGUUUGCCUUCGUGGAAUAUGAAGAUCCAAGAGAUGCUGAUGAUGCAGUGAGAGGGAUGGACGGAACAUCAAUAUGUGGAUCCCGAGUUCGAGUAGAACACUCUACAGGGAAAGUUCGACCCAAACCGUGGUUACGUGGAGGUCGACCCCCAAGGUCAGGUGGAGGAGGGGGAGGUCGUCGACCUUUUCAUCCAGAUGACAAGUGUUAUGAGUGUGGUGGGAGAGGUCACUACGCAUAUGACUGUACCCGCAGAGGGAGGUCCAAUAGGGGGUCCAGAAGAUCCAGACAUCCUCAUGAACCAUUGGCAAAUGAUCUAGACUGCCUCGGUUUUCAAGUUAGAUUGCAACAUACAAUGUCUGAGCUCAACCGCACCCUCUCUUAGAAGUGCUCAGAAUCUUCAAGUUCACAGCCCCUUUUUCAACUUGAAAACACAAAAUUGUAGCUUCCCCUGUCUCGGAAAUGAUUAAGUCAUCCCUGCCAUUGUCCAUCACGGCCCAUCUGAGAAUCUUCACCUCAGCUGAUCAUGAUGACAAGAAUUGCAUUCAUCACAACAGUCUAUCAUGGUUUGAUCAGAUUUGAGAAUAGAUUCACACCCUGCUUUGGACACCUGAUCGUCCUGGCCGGUUAAAGUUGUUAGAUAUCUCCUCACAAUCGACAGUCAUUGGCCAAUUAGAUCAGAGAAUAGAUUUACUUCUUCCUCUUCACAACAUCUACCUUUGACCAAUCAGAUUUGAGAGUAGAUUCACAUCAGAUCUCAACACACCAGACCACUAUGGGCCAAUCAAUUUUGAGAGAAUAGAUAUACCUCUUCAGAUCAGCCAAUAAGAUUUGAAGGUAGACUGAGUCACCACCUGAUUCUCCCCCUUCAGACUCUUCUUGAUCUUUCUGCAUUUUGAUAACUUGUUGACAACAAAUGGAUCGCGGUCCAGAUCCCGAUCCCGAUCUCCACGGAGACGUAGUUAUUCCCGAUCUCGCAGUAGGAGUGUCAGCAGACCCAGGUACCGCACCAGAAGUAGGACAAAGAGCAG
Molecule: RNA transcript, 1276 nt
Organism: Saccostrea cuccullata (small rock oyster)
Lineage: Eukaryota; Metazoa; Mollusca; Bivalvia; Ostreida; Ostreidae
Gene name: serine/arginine-rich splicing factor 7-like
Exons: 5
Source: RefSeq, a predicted model, not a curated record